This 253-nucleotide ribosomal RNA is filed under the name uncultured bacterium. Its description in RNAcentral is "partial 16S ribosomal RNA". It matches the Rfam family "Bacterial small subunit ribosomal RNA", at positions 524 to 776 of the family's 1533-position model. The record is from RNAcentral.
GACGAGCCACCCAAACGUUAUUCGGAAUUACUGGGCUUAAAGGGUGCGUAGGCGGUGCAGCAAGUCGGGAGUGAAAUACCUCAGCUUAACUGAGGAACUGCUCUCGAUACUGCUGUGCUUGAGUGAGACGGAGGUAAGCGGAACUUAGGGUGGAGCGGUGAAAUGCGUUGAUAUCCUAAGGAACACCGGUGGCGAAGGCGGUCACCUGGACGAUAACUGACGCUGAGGCUCGAAAGCGUGGGGAGCAAACAGG